Molecule: ribosomal RNA, 477 nt
Filed under: uncultured bacterium
Lineage: Bacteria
Description: partial 16S ribosomal RNA
Rfam family: Bacterial small subunit ribosomal RNA
Source: RNAcentral
GAUGAACGCUGGCGGCGUGCCUAAUACAUGCAAGUCGAGCGAACAGACGAGGAGCUUGCUCCUCUGACGUUAGCGGCGGACGGGUGAGUAACACGUGGAUAACCUACCUAUAAGACUGGGAUAACUUCGGGAAACCGGAGCUAAUACCGGAUAAUAUAUUGAACCGCAUGGUUCAAUAGUGAAAGACGGUUUUGCUGUCGCUUAUAGAUGGAUCCGCGCCGCAUUAGCUAGUUGGUAAGGUAGCGGCUUACCAAGGCAACGAUGGGUAGCCGACCUGAGAGGGUGACGGGCCACAGUGGGACUGAGAUACGGCCCAGACUCCUACGGGAGGCAGCAGUGGGGAAUAUUGCAAAAUGGGCGGAAGCCUGAUGCAGCAACGCCGCGUGCGGGAUGACGGCCUUCGGGUUGUAAACAGCUUUCGCCUGUGACGAAGAGUGAGUGACGGUAAUGGGUAAAGAAGCACCGGCUAACUACGUG